Long non-coding RNA from Drosophila yakuba, 1234 nucleotides. RefSeq lists it as uncharacterized. NCBI's taxonomy places the organism in Eukaryota, Metazoa, Arthropoda, Insecta, Diptera, Drosophilidae. The record is from RefSeq and is a predicted model, not a curated record. The transcript is spliced from 4 exons.
GGGAAACUAUUAACCGAUAAACCCAAAAACCUCACACCAGCAAACAUUUAGUAGUCCGUUAGCUAACACACGAUUUUAUCAGCCAACUUUACCACUUUCCUCCUCUUCAUUGAAAUGAAAGAGCUGGCUUUGUUUAAAAUACAAUAAAUUGUCAAGGGGUUUCCAUUAUACUAAGGAGUUUCAGACAUUUAGUGAAAUCAUACAUCAGGGUAUCUUAAAUGCGAUCAUAUAUAUAGUUCCACAGACCGCUUUUCCAGUUGAAGAUCGAGGCUGUCCAUCGGAUUAGUAGUGGAGUAGGUUAUAAACGUAGUUUUCUAAACGACUUAGUCACCAGUUUGGGUCGUGUCAAUGCGAUUGGCAUUUAACGAGCUUCAUGGCUUGUAGGGCUAACAUUUUGGCAUAAGAUUUUUACCAGCACAUAUAUCUGUGUCGCCCAUCUCUACUCUGCGCCCAACUAUCCCCGACUAUCUAUCUAACUAUUGUGAGUACUUGUCAUUUAGCUUACUAUUUACUGUCACGCUUUUGAGUGCCCCUCGAAUGGAAAUGGGAAUGGAAAUGGAAAUGGAAAUGGGUCUGCGGCCGAAGGGGCUUGGCUAACUGGGAAGGGCCGUCCGAGAGAUAUCCAUUCGGGAGUGUAGGGAACUUCAGAGUUUCAGAGGACCGAGUCAGUCGACUGACCCGCGAUAAAGCCAGUUGUUUAGCCAGUGAAUCAGCGAGUGAAAAAAAACGCUUAUCAAUCAGUUUCUAGCUAGUAAAUCAAAUUGUUGCAGUCGGGCAGGAAGCCUCGUCUUGACUUGGCCAAGAGGAAACUGGCGAUUAUAGUUCGUAAGCCCGUAGAUGCGAGUAUGUGACUUUCUGGAGCCAAGUCGUAUUUUUUUUCUUUGCAGAAAUAAGAGAGGCAGCCGGAAGAACUUCAUUGCUUGUCAUCUGCUAGGAGUCUGUUUUUCUUACUCCACCCUUUUGCUUUUCCUACAGGUACAUUUUUUUCUACUUUGCUGAUUAAUCGUAUGUGCAUAUAAUUAAUUAAAUUUUUAGUUCUACAAAACAAAAGAUCACAGGUAUUUUAUUCUGACAUAAUAAUUUGAAUAAAAUGUGGCUUUAAGAAUUUCCUAAUAAUUAUUUUUAUUAUAUAUUUUUUUGUUUGUCAAUAAUUUCCUAAAUAUUACUCUGAAUGCAAAACACUUUUCCCUGCAUAAUAAGAAUUUUUUCUUUACCAAAUUUGUACUAAAUAUCC